This 1220-nucleotide long non-coding RNA is filed under the name Nicotiana tabacum (common tobacco). RNAcentral's name for it is "long non-coding RNA (NTAB_LNC004388)". The record is from RNAcentral. Lineage: Eukaryota; Viridiplantae; Streptophyta; Magnoliopsida; Solanales; Solanaceae.
ACUGAACUCUUUCCUUUAGUCAGCAUUAGGGUUUUAAACCCUAAACUAAACUUUUCCCUUUAGUCAGCAUUAGGGUUUUAAACCCUAAACUGAACUUUUCCCAUUUAGUCAGCAUUAGGGUUUUAAACCCUAAACUGAACUCGUUCCUUUAAGUCAACAUUAGGGUUUUAAACCCUAAACUGAACAUUUUCCAUUUAGUCAGCAUUAGGGUUUUAAACCCUAAACUGAACAUUUUCCAUUUAGUCAGCAUUAGGGUUUUAAACCCUAAACUAAACUUUUCCAUUCAAACAGCAUUAGGGUUUUAAACCCAAAACUGAACUUUUCCUUUAGUCAGCAUUAGGGUUUUAAACCCUAAACUGAACUUUUUCCAUUUAGUCAGCAUUAGGGUUUUAAACCCUAAACUGAACUUUUUCCAUUCAGUCAGCAUUAGGGUUUUAAACCCUAAACUGAACUUUUCCAUUCAGUCAGCAUUAGGGUUUUAAACCCUAAACUGAACUUUUCCUUUAGUCAGCACUAGGGUUUUGAACCCUAAACUGAACUUUUCCCUUUAGUCAGCAUUAGGGUUUUAAACCCUAAACUGAACUCUUCUCCUUUAGUCAGCAUUAGGGUUUUAAACCCUAAACUGAACUCUUCUCCUUUAGUCAGCAUUAGGGUUUUAAACCUUAAACUGAACAUUUUCCUUUAGUCAGCAUUAGGGUUUUAAACCCUAAACUGAACUCUUUUCCUUUAGUCAGCAUUAAGGUUUUAAACCCUAAACUGAACUCUUUUCCUUUAGUCAGCAUUAGGGUUUUAAUCCUAAACUGAACUAUUUUCCUUCAGUCAGCAUUAGGGUUUUAAACCCUAAACUGAACUAUUUUCCUUUAGUCAGCAUUAGGGUUUUAAACCCUAAACUGAACUCUUUUCCUUUAGUCAGCAUUAGGAUUAUAAAACCUAAACUGAACUUUUGCCUUUAGUCAGCAUUAGGGUUUUAAACCCUAAACUGAACUCUUUUCCUUUAGUCAGCAUUAGGGUUUUAAACCCUAAACUGAACUCUUCCCUUCAUUCAGCAUUAGGGUUUUAAACCCUAAACUAAACUCUUUCCUUUAGACAACAUUAGGGUUUUAAACCCUAAACUGAACUCUUUCCUUUAGUUAGCAUUAGGGUUUUAAACCCUAAACUAAACUCUUUCCUUUAGACAGCAUUAGGGUUUUAAACCUAAACUGAACUCUUCCCUUUAGUCA